Molecule: long non-coding RNA, 2794 nt
Organism: Oncorhynchus kisutch (coho salmon)
Lineage: Eukaryota; Metazoa; Chordata; Actinopteri; Salmoniformes; Salmonidae
Exons: 3
Source: RefSeq, a predicted model, not a curated record
CUCAAAUGAAGGGGGUGAUGACGCAAUCUUUGCGAGAGGGAGGGAAUCUGAUUUCAUUGUUCCUCAGCUCGCGACUCAACACUUAAUUCAGGAUAAAUGGCGUUAGCCUACCGAGGAGGAUUCAUUGCCAUAGAAAUGUACCUGGCUAAAAUAUGAGCCACUUUCUUGGUAUUGGUUAUCCCGAGUUGAACUCAAUUGACCAAAGUUACCUCGCUAAUUCCUCAAACCAGUGAACUGGUAGUGGCAGAGCUCACAGGCGCUGGUGCCAGAGGCAGAGAGCCAGUGCUCCAGGCAGCUCCGGUGGAUGGUACCCAGGGUCCCUGCACACUCACAGGGGGAGAGCAGCUCCUCCUGACCCCCUCCGUCAUGACAGAUCCGACACAUGGGCCGCUCAGGCAGAGGGCUUCGGCGAUAUGGAACGAGCUUGGGACCGCAGGUGGAAAAAUGUGCCGUUCCACCCUUGAGCAAGGAAAUUAACCCCCAACACAACUGCUCCCCGUGCGCUGAUGACGUGGACGUCGAUUAAGGCAGCACCCCGCACCUCUCUGAUUUAGAGGGGUUGGGUUAAAUGCAGAAGACACAGCUGAAUGCAUUCAGUUGUGCAACUGACUAGGUAUUCCCCUUCCCCCUUUCUGAGAACAAUAACAGCUGACUAGGGAUCCUACUUCCCCCUUUCUGAGAAUAAUAACAACUGACUAGGGAUCCUACUUCCCCCUUUCUGAGAACAAUAACAUCUGACUAAGUAUCUGGGCAGGUAGCCUAGUGGUUAGAGCAUUGUGCCAGUAACCGGAAGGUUGCUGGAUUGAAUCCCCAAGCUGACAAGGUAAAAAUCUGUCUUUCUGCCCCUGAGCAAGGCAGUUAACCCACGGUUCCCCGGGCGCUGAAGACAUGGAUGUCGAUUAAGGCAGCCCCCGCACCUCUCUGAUUCAGAGAUUAGGUUAAAUGCGGAAGACACAUUUCAGUUGAAGGCAUUCAGUUCGACAACUGACUAGGUAUCCACCCUUCCCUUUGCCCUUUCUGAGAACAAUAACUAAGAUUGGACAUCACAAUUCACUGACUAGAGGUUUUCAAAAAUAUCAUGUCAAUAUUUCAGUGGAUAGAAAACUAGCUGGUUAAAUAACAAAACCCUGGGAGGGAGUUGGUGUAAUUUGACGCUGUCACACAUUGUUAGAAUACCCUGUCUAUUCUGUCUCUGUACUAUGCAUACAUACAGUACAUCUCUUAGAUUAUAGACUCAAAUCAAACAUUUUCUGGAUUAAAACAACAUAUGCAAGGAGGAUUAUUACUUUCAUUUACUAUAUGGACUGUAAUCUAUGAUUCACCAAUCUCCUAUAUGGCAUCUAAUCCUCUAAUCUGGAUGAUGAUUAUGUUGGGUUGUUGAUCGCCUUGAUUUCAUCAGGAAACUAAGCCGAUGUCUUUGACGGAAUGAAUGAGCCCCUCACUCAACAAACCUCCCCUUGAACAUAAACACUUGUCGCUGCCAAUAACUAACACAACAGAAUGAACAUCAUCUUGUCAGACAAAUGAAUUAAUAAUAAGAUUUUGCUAGAACAAAAAAACUUUGGAGUCGUCGUCAGUUUGAAGUAAUAAAAGCCUUUAAACCUAAUCUGGAAAUUGUUUUUCAUGUUGAUCAUCAACAGAACAAACAUGACGACAACGUCACUGGAUAUGAAAACAACUAAUAAACAUCUAUAGCGAUAAUGUUUGUUGAUUUAGUUUAUAUUAGACAUAUAUGAUAAAAAUACAUAUUUAUAACCUGGUCCCAGAUCUGUUUGUGUUGUCUUGCCAAUGGCCAGACAUAGAGUUGGAAAGACGGCACAAGUAGACCUUGGACUCGGAUAGCACAUACUCUUCAAUCAGUAUUUAUUAAAUAAUACAUUGUAGAUUGUAGCCACCAUGGCAAUUUAUUCUGUAAUAUUUAUUCUGUAAUCGGUAGCAAAUUAAGUUGAUCCCAAUUCUAUAAUGUAUGCUACCAGCUCUACUGUAUGCCAAUCUAUGCUAGCUACCGCUUUGCUACUAUGCUAUCUAUCUCUAAGCUAAGCUACCCUAUCCUAGCUAGUGCAAUGCCACAGGCUGAUUAUUAAGAGGGCUUUGGGGGGGCUAACAGUUGUGACCCAGUCUGCAUGACUGCAGCUGUUGCCGCUAAAGCCCCCCUUUGUCUCCCAUAGUGUGUGUGAGUGACAGAGUCCCGUCAGGCGUACAUGCUAAUCAAGGUGCUAAAUUUAGACUCUGCACCAUCCGGCCAGAACAGGACAUUUGUUGUGUUUCAAAUGUACAGACAUUUACCCCACAGGGCCAGUUAGUGUGAUUGGUAUGCAAGUUAUGUAGCUGUCUGAAGCCAUAGUUACUCAUCUAUAGGAUCUAUAUAGUCCUCUUUCACUGCACAGAGAACAAGAAGGACAUCCCAGACAGAUAGAGGGGGGAAAUCCUUUUGAGAGGCACUUGAUUUGUUACCAUUCAGAAAUCGUGUUUGGUUAUAUUUGGGUAUAUAUUUAAAACUAGCUUCACUUUACCUCUGACCCCCACCAACCCCUCCCCUCCACACCCGUACAAAACUCUAUUCCAUCCAUGUUUGGCAGGUCCAUACCUCUGUUUGGCGUACGCUCCCACGAUAGGUGACAGCAGCUGCCCAUCCUUGGCAGACACUUGCAUGUAGUACUGCGGCUCUCCAUUGGCCGGACUGCUCUGCUCUUCCAUUGCUUUUCCUGGGAGGUCAGGCUCUGUCGGGUAGUCCAGGCUACCCAUUGGAUCAAAGUCCUUGUCGCUCAAGCAACUCCCUGUGUGGGUAGAGUCU